This 400-nucleotide ribosomal RNA is filed under the name uncultured bacterium. RNAcentral's name for it is "bacterial SSU rRNA". It matches the Rfam family "Bacterial small subunit ribosomal RNA", at positions 355 to 772 of the family's 1533-position model. The record is from RNAcentral.
UGGGGAAUAUUGGACAAUGGGGGAGACCCUGAUCCAGCCAUGCCGCGUGAGUGAAGACGGCCUUCGGGUUGUAAAGCUCUUUUACAUGGGAAGAUAAUGACGGUACCAUGAGAAUAAGCACCGGCAAACUUCGUGCCAGCAGCCGCGGUAAUACGAAGGGUGCAAGCGUUGUUCGGAAUUACUGGGUGUAAAGGGCGUGUAGGCUGGAGAUCAAGUUAGUGGUGAAACCCCUGGGCUUAACCUGGGAACUGCCAUUGAUACUGAUUUCCUGGAGUAUCGGAGAGGAUAACGGAAUAUCCAGUGUAGAGGUGAAAUUCGUAGAUAUUGGAUAGAACACCGGUGGCGAAGGCGGUUAUCUGGCCGGUUACUGACGCUGAGGCGCGAGAGCGUGGGGAGCAAA